This 301-nucleotide ribosomal RNA is filed under the name uncultured bacterium. RNAcentral's name for it is "partial 16S ribosomal RNA". It matches the Rfam family "Bacterial small subunit ribosomal RNA", at positions 509 to 807 of the family's 1533-position model. The record is from RNAcentral.
CAGUCGCCGCAGGAAAACGUAGGUCCCGAGCGUUGCCCGGAUUUAUUGGGCGUAAAGCGAGCGUAGACGGUUAAACAAGUCUGAAGUGAAAUGCCGGGGCUCAACCCCGGAGCUGCUUUGGGAACUGUAGAACUGGAGUGUCGGAGGGGUAAGCGGAAUUCCCAGUGUAGCGGUGAAAUGCGUAGAUAUUGGGAGGAACACCGGCGGCGAAGGCGGCUUACUGGACGACAACUGACGUUGAGGCUCGAAGGCGUGGGUAGCAAACAGGAUUAGAUACCCCCGUAGUCCCUGUCUCUUAUAC